AGGACUGUAGUUAACUAUAAUAUUUGAUUUGCACUCAAAAGGUAUUGAAUUCAAUCUGUCUUA
Molecule: transfer RNA, 63 nt
Filed under: Nannochorista philpotti
Lineage: Eukaryota; Metazoa; Arthropoda; Insecta; Mecoptera; Nannochoristidae
Description: tRNA-Ala
Rfam family: tRNA
About the family: Transfer RNA (tRNA) molecules are approximately 80 nucleotides in length. Their secondary structure includes four short double-helical elements and three loops (D, anti-codon, and T loops). Further hydrogen bonds mediate the characteristic L-shaped molecular structure. tRNAs have two regions of fundamental functional importance: the anti-codon, which is responsible for specific mRNA codon recognition, and the 3' end, to which the tRNAs corresponding amino acid is attached (by aminoacyl-tRNA synthetases). tRNAs cope with the degeneracy of the genetic code in two manners: having more than one tRNA (with a specific anti-codon) for a particular amino acid; and 'wobble' base-pairing, i.e. permitting non-standard base-pairing at the 3rd anti-codon position.
Source: RNAcentral